UUGGGCUAGUCUGGGGGAGAGUAGCCAGCACGGGGGCGCGCCCAGGAGAGCAAGAACGCGAUGUGAGGCGGAGCGGAGCAGAGUUCAGCCUUGCCAACACUUACUGGAGUGUCCGGGAACUACUUUAACUACAGAACGGACGUAUCAACGUGUCAACUUUGCGCUUAUCGGAAAACUUUUGACUCGGUCUUUCCCAUGGGAAUACUUCUGUGAACACUUACGCCAGCCAAUCAGAAGAGGCCAUGCUGAAACCUGUUGCUGAUCAGUGACCCCGCCCUCCCCUUCCCUUGAGAGAGAGGGAUAGAGAGAGAGAGAAGGAUAGAGAGAAGGAUGGGGAGAGGGGUGUAGGGAUGAGAGAGAGAAUGGUUGAGAUGCCCUUAUUCACAUAUAGAAAGAGAAAGAGA
Clupea harengus (Atlantic herring) is the source of this 404-nucleotide long non-coding RNA. RefSeq lists it as uncharacterized. The transcript is spliced from 2 exons. NCBI's taxonomy places the organism in Eukaryota, Metazoa, Chordata, Actinopteri, Clupeiformes, Clupeidae. The record is from RefSeq and is a predicted model, not a curated record.